Capsicum annuum is the source of this 2445-nucleotide long non-coding RNA. RefSeq lists it as uncharacterized. The transcript is spliced from 3 exons. The record is from RefSeq and is a predicted model, not a curated record. NCBI's taxonomy places the organism in Eukaryota, Viridiplantae, Streptophyta, Magnoliopsida, Solanales, Solanaceae.
UCCUCUUCUUAGUUGAAUUUUUCGAUCUUAGUUAACGAUCUUGGGAUAGAAGAAGGUCUCUCAAACUACACCUUUCUUAUGUUAUUCUAUACAUAUACAACGAUUGAUAGAGCAUAAAAGUAACGAUUGAUAGAGCAUAAAACGUAAGGAAAACAAGUAAAAGAAACAUAACUAAUAAAUAGGCGUAGCGAGGUUCUAAACGGCGUCCUCCGUCAGUGAGGAUGCCUUGAGAGCAAAAACACAUAGAUAGGAGUAAAGGAAAGACACAACUUAAAGAACACGCAAGAAAGUAUGCUAUAUUACUAAGAUCCUGAUUCCAGAUGAUUUACAAAUUGAGAGGGUCGGGGAUCACUAUUUAUUCUGUACAAUGGAUGAAUAGUCCCUACAGAUUGGGUUUUCUUUAGAAAGUCCUUACAGUACUAUACACCGUGACGCUUUGUCAGGUGUGUUCUAUCUAUUAUAUUUGUCAGGCAGUGUAUUUUGCAGAGAUUGAUACAAUAUGUGUCUGCACUUUUGAUGUAUUUUGAUGCUUUUGUCUCUUGUCAUUUUCUCCAUGUCAUUCUCGUCCUUCGCGGUCAUAUCCUUCACAAAAUAUCUCUCCUGAUAUUCCACUAAAAUGGAGUCCCAUCGAGAUCUUCUUUCUCACAAGUGGUCUCGUUUUCCCAUUAACAUAACUCCCGAGGGUCUUUUUCCAGUAUUAAUAGUCCCUUUGUUUCUGGAUUGACACGUCAGUGUAUCUCAAAGUAUGGAAUAAUUUCUUCUCUCUGCCAUAUCUGACAUGUUUUCCGAGCCUCGAAACAUUUUCUUUCUUGAUAUGCAAAAUCCCAAAACUGAUGCUCCACUUAGUAAAAAAAAACCCUUUCUUUGAUCCUCAUCGUUUAUUUUUUGCAUCUUAGUUCAAAAUAUUUCGUUCUUAUCUUUGGCUCGAUUCACAUCACUGCCCCUUUUGCUAAAAUACACUUAUCUUUUUGGUGUGCCUCCUGAAUCUUUGAAACUCUCGGUUAACAUGCUAUUUCUUGAUUUAUUCAGCUUUUCUGACGACUUCAAAAGUACUCCUAAUGAUCACAAAUUUAGCCCUAUGUGAGUCGGGUUCCUUGAUGAAAGAAAUAGACACACUCAUUAUCCAUUGUGAUGGUAUAUUCAUAAAAAUAUUUCCCGAGGGUGCCUGGCUAUUUAAAUAAAAUUAUGACGACCGGAGCUGAUCAGUUUGUCAUUUAUACUUACCUAUUUUCCCUCGGCCUUGGGAACCCAAUCAUUGAGUUGAUCGCAUCUUAUUGCAGUAGAUUCUAGCUUGACAUCAACCAGGCCAGUCCUAGUGUUUGGAGGAUUAUGGCUUGCCUUUAUGCUCUUUCACUCAAUACCAAUGAGAAUCUCUCAGUGGAUCUCUUCCUCCUCUUGUAUUCCCCAUGAUUGUUUCCCGGUGGUGUAGUAUAAUUGGUUCAUUAUGGUAAUUCAAGUGCUUAUAUGAUCCCAGUGACAGUGGCUAAAUCGAUGAGUUUGUUGUUUGUGGAUGCCAUAUAUUUAACCAAAAACUUCCCUAUGUUCUUCUAGAAUACCCAUCCCUUGAUAAGGCACCCAAAUAUGAGGAUUUUGGAUACGCUGAUCGAUACAAACCCAUGCAUGGGUUAAGGAAAUUCUAAAGAUUUUAGAUGUGGUAGCUCGAUCGUGGAAGAAGAUUGUUUUCUUCAAGGAUGGAAAGUAAAAAAUUAUGGUUUAUCUGUUGGAUCCAUCAUUCUGUCUUACUAGGAAAUCACUUCUUCUUCCUCUACUACUUUAAAACUACCCAGGAGGGACUUACAUAGUGAUCUUCAAGAAGAAGGGGGCCUUUGAUGGUGAACGAUUUCAAUGGCAAGGAUCAUUAUGGGGAGGCUUCUUCGAUGAAAUCAUUGUGGCAGAUCACUGUAUUUUGGAUCUAUAGUAGAUAUUUUUAGAAAAUAGACCUUGUUAUUUACGUUGAUUCUUACUUUGCUCUUUCCAUCUUCCACUUACUAAGUUUCAUUCAUGUAGGAGUCCUAUACUAGGCCAAAAUGUUGGACUUGAGAGGAGGGAUUCUGCGAAAAAAUGAUCGAUGGUGUCGCCUCGUCAUGUGCGUGACUCACCGUCAAGUCACUUGAUUUCUUUGGCUCAUGAUAUUCCCUCCUCUAAAAUCCGAGCAUAAGCGACUCUCACGAGCAUUCUUGCUUAACUUUUUUCGUCAAGUGAUUUUCUAGUUCUAGUUUGUGCUCUUUUCUCGUGGAGGUAGGUUCUUCUCAAGGUAUUCUCGGAAGUUGAUUUUUGAUCAAGGAUAAUUUGGAUGGAUAUAAAUUUAUCUCUCUUGGCAUCUCAGGGUGAUAGAGAGCUAAAUAGGUGAGUUCUCCUCGAAUGUCAUCUUAAUGACAUUUACUCACGCUAUUACUAAGGUACACAACUAGUAGUUCUUUCCAAACUCUUUCUCUUCUGUAUUUC